This 240-nucleotide ribosomal RNA is filed under the name uncultured eukaryote. RNAcentral's name for it is "partial 18S ribosomal RNA". It matches the Rfam family "Eukaryotic small subunit ribosomal RNA", at positions 1208 to 1456 of the family's 1831-position model. The record is from RNAcentral.
GGGAACCUCACCCGGCCCGGACACCGCGAGGAUUGACAGACUGAGAGCUCUUUCUCGAUUCGGUGGGUGGUGGUGCAUGGCCGUUCUUAGUUGGUGGAGCGAUCUGUCUGGUUAAUUCCGAUAACGAACGAGACCCCAACCUGCUAACUAGCCCUCGGGUCCUGCUUCUGUUGGGCCCGACGGAAUGAUUCGCUUCUUAGAGGGACUCGCGGUGCCUAGCCGCACGAAGGGGGGCGAUAA